GUGAGAAGGGAGGGGGCGGGCUCCGCGGGCUCCCCUCAUUUGGCGGGGCGGAGUCCCCGCGGGACCCCGGUGUCCCUGCCGCGGUGAACUGGACCGCCGGGAGGACGGGGCGAGCUGCGGCGUCCGUGCCCGGCAGGCACCGAUCCCGGCUCGGCACUGGACUGUUUCCUCCCCGAGUGCGGGGUGUUGGGGUGGGGAGACCCCAGGACAUCCCGAAGCGUCCCUGAAAUGUUAAGCCGGGUUGAACUUAGUUCGUGCAUCCGCGCAAUGAAAAGGGGAGAGACCGGCUCUGUGCGGUACGCGACCCCCCCUCCCCCUGCAUUUUGUUUUCCCCUUGGUCAGUUUUGCACCUACGGUGAUGGAUUCUCAUUUUCUUUAGGACUAUUAAAAUGUAAUCUGGAACAUCAGUUUUACAUUGUUGCACUUGUGUUGGAGGUUCGCGUUUAUUAGCAUAUAUAUUGUAUUUAAAGGCAGUGUAAUUAGAAAGUGCUAUCUCGUUACGCGAUUGUUUGAAGCAUUCAGCAGAACAAAGUUAAUCUUUUAUUAAGCAGUCUUACUGGGACAUUUUGUGACUUUCUUAAAAAGCACCAUAUCUUCUGCGAAUUAUUCCUUUGACUUGUGUUUUGUCAAAGUUGUUAAGGCUUGGUCUGCUAAACUUAGCAAAGGCUUUGUUUUUUUGAAGGAAAGAUAAAAAGAAAACAAAAGAAAAUGUACUAAGGCACAUAGCAGCAACUUUCCAGUUCUCUGAUUUGGAAUUUAGAGCCAGAACUGAUGCAUUAGUUUGUCUUAGUAAAGUAGAAAACAAAACAAAACUCUGGUGUGCUUGGGUGCAGAUAGUUGAAUAUUAUCCUUUGCCCUACUACUUUUUAAGAAUUGUUUGCAAUUUCUAAAAAUUUUCUUGCUUACUGAGCACUCCUAAACCUCCCAACUUGCAAGGGUGUAGUUUCAUCUACUUAGUCUUAAAUUUCUAGCAGUCAUCAUGAUACUUUUUCUGUAAGAAAGGGACAAGUCUUUUUUCAGUGUUGCAUAACUAAAGUGAUUUCCCCACCCCUCUCAUAUGCUAAGCGAAAAUUCAACUUUGUUCUGGUUAUCAGAAGGUGCUCUUCUUCUGUAGAUAGAAGAAACCUGUGGCAGUUUAAACUAUUAAGCCACGUUGCUUUCAAUUGCAGUGGGACGUUUAUACUUUAAGCCUACUUAACUGGCUUAGAAAAGAAAAGGCAUUGCACAGAUAAAGUUGAUUAUGGACACUAUCAGAGCUUUCAGGUUCUUGACCCAAGCCUAAAGUUGGUUAUUUUACAUUAAUUAAUAUUAAACUUUUAGAUUACCAAAGUAACCCUUUUAGGAAGAGGCUUUUACAGAUCUUUUCGUGGCUGUCUGUAAAUCCUACAGUUCACCUAGGCACCCUGUGUUUCUAAGAGUCCCCAUUUCAAACAUUGUGGUCCAUUGGCAGACCAAUGUCUUGUGUUGGGGCCCAGAAACUCUAUUUAUCCUUACAAUGCCCAAUCCAAUGGCAUGCAUGUAGUAGUUGAUAAAUAAACGCUUCUUGAAAUUUUUAAGGAAAUUAACUGAAUGCUACUUUUUCAGUCACUGGAAUUUGAUUCCAUAAGGCCUCCAACAUAGUCUUUAAGAUACUACUAAAUCCCUGGCCCUUGAAUUUUUAAAUUUUGUAAGUUUUAUCCUCAAGACUUAUGGUUUGUUAUUUUUUCAUAACUGCUUAUUCAUGUGUUAUGGUUGCAGCAUACUCCCUUAUCUCUUCGAGGGUAUUAGUUAUAACAUUUUAAAGUUUAUUCUAUUUGCUGUUUAUUUUUUUUAUUUUUUUGUUUUUGUUUUUUGGUAUUGGGGAUUGAACUCUGGUCUUUGCGCCGAAACCACUGAGCUAAAUCCCUGGCCCUAUUUGCUGUUUAUUGAAUUCAUUUUUUGUUAUGGUGUAGAUAAAGUCAGUAAAGUGUACAAAAUCUUUAAGUGUCAAGCUUGAUGGAUUUUAUGUUUCUCUGCUCCCGUGUAACCACCACCCAAACC
Molecule: long non-coding RNA, 2019 nt
Organism: Heterocephalus glaber (naked mole-rat)
Lineage: Eukaryota; Metazoa; Chordata; Mammalia; Rodentia; Bathyergidae
Source: Ensembl